This 775-nucleotide ribosomal RNA is filed under the name uncultured Neocallimastigales. Its description in RNAcentral is "partial large subunit ribosomal RNA". It matches the Rfam family "Eukaryotic large subunit ribosomal RNA", at positions 26 to 635 of the family's 3401-position model. Lineage: Eukaryota; Fungi; Neocallimastigomycota; Neocallimastigomycetes; Neocallimastigales. The record is from RNAcentral.
CGCAUCUGUGCAUGCAGCAUAUCAAUAAGCGGAGGAAAAGAAACUAACAAGGAUUCCCCUAGUAACGGCGAGUGAAGCGGGAAGAGCUCAAAUUUGAAAUCUUAAAGGGUUUCCCUUUACGAAUUGUAGUUUAAAGAAGUGUUUUCUGUUGAGGUUUUGGUAAAAGUUCUUUGGAAUAGGACAUCAUAGAGGGUGAGAAUCCCGUAUUUGACCUUUACUUUCAACUUUGUGAUACACUUUCAAAGAGUCGGAUUGUUUGGGAAUGCAGUCCAAAAUGGGUGGUAAAUUUCAUCUAAAGCUAAAUAUUGGCGAGAGACCGAUAGCGAACAAGUACCGUGAGGGAAAGAUGAAAAGAACUUUGAAAAGAGAGUUAAACAGUACGUGAAAUUGUCAAAAGGGAAGCGUUUGACACCAGUGUUGUUUUUCUGAAAAUCAAUUAAAGAACUGUUCAUGCUAAGUUGUUUAGACUUUAUCAGCUAACUGUUUAGUUUUGAGCUUUUCUUUAAUGCACUUUUCAGGUUAACAAGUCAACAUCAAUUUCUUUUGCUGUAAAAAAGCUUGAGGAAGGUGGCUUGAGAUUCGUCUUAAGUGUUUAUAGCCUCUUGCCUAUGCAGUCGGAGAGAUUGAGGUCUGCAGCGUAGAUCCUUCGGGGCUAAAUGCAUUUGUGCUAAGUUAUAGCAUUUUAUAGACAACUUGUUGACUAUGAUUUGUCUUGUAGCUUACUCGCUUAUGUUAUUUUACCUACGCUUAGGAUGUUGAAGAUGUAGCACAUCAU